This 3670-nucleotide long non-coding RNA is filed under the name Daucus carota (carrot). Its description in RNAcentral is "long non-coding RNA (DCAR_LNC001906)". Lineage: Eukaryota; Viridiplantae; Streptophyta; Magnoliopsida; Apiales; Apiaceae. The record is from RNAcentral.
CUGUAAAUCUUUGGGGCACUCGGCUUCAGCUUGUCCAAAGGUCACUAGAAUAUGGAAGCAAAAGGAUAAAUCAGGGGUCCAGGAGGCCACUGCUGAGGAUAAGGAUCAUGAAUCUGAAGCUACUGAUAAAGAUAAAGGGGAGAAUGUCAAGGGUGCAGGUGCUGUUGUUAGUAAUAACUCUGAGAAUCCUAGCAUUGAAGUUGACUGUGACAGUCCUCUUGCUGCUUGGAUUGAAAUCAAACGGAAAAAAUCUGGCAAUAUAUCUGGAAACAAAUCUGACAGUUAUACCGAUACUGAAGCAUCACCAUCCCCUCUUGUAACUUUCAAGCAUUUAAAAUUGGUAGAUGAAUUUGCAGCAAUACAGGGUCCUAAAUCUGCUAACUUUCAAGCAUUUAAAAUUGGUAGAUGAAUUUGCAGCAAUACAGGGUCCUAAAUCUGCUAACUUUCAAGCAUUUAAAAUUGGUAGAUGAAUUUGCAGCAAUACAGGGUCCUAAAUCUGCUAAUCCUGGUACGCAAACUAAUUCAGUGAGACUUACUAAAUCUCAAAAGAAGAAGCUUAAGGCUUCAUUGGGGAAUAACUCCCCCUCUCUAUCUUAAUUUUUAUGAUAGAUUUUUGUUCCUACAAUAUCCGUGGGCUGCAUAAUAAAGUGUCUUUUGCAAAAGACUUUUUGAGCGUCAAUAAAUGUGGUCUUGCAGCCCUUUUGGAAACUCAUGUGAAAAAGGAAGACGUUGGUUUCUACUCUUCUGUCAUUGCUCCUAGAUUUAAAUGGUUGUUUAACUAUGAUUUUCACGAUAAUGGGAGAAUUUGGUUUGGUUGGGAUGAGAAUCUGUGGAAAGUCACUUUAGUUGCAUCAUCUGCUCAACAUAUUACUUGUGAGGUUCUGCAAACGGAUGGCCCUGUUCACUGUUUACUUACUAUGGUAUAUGCUUUUAAUGAUGAAGUUUUGAGAAGAUAUCUUUGGGCUGAUUUGGAGUCUUUGCAGCAGAAUUAUAGUGAGAAUAUGUUACCUUGGUGCUUGAUGGGGGAUUUUAACACCUUCAUGUAUUCUUUUGAAACUAAUGGACCUAUGCCUAGAAGGAGUAAUCAUAUUGAGGAAUUUAAGAGAUGCACUACUGAUCUGGGGCUUGUUGACCUGAGAUAUCAAGGCACUAUCUUUACCUGGUGGGAUGGAAAUACUACUGUGCCUGUCAUGAGGAAGUUGGAUAGGGUUCUGGUCAACUCUGAUUGGCUUGCUCGUUAUGAUCUCUCUCUAGCUGAAUUCCUUCCCAGAGGUCUAUCUGAUCAUAAUCCGGCAGUUGUUCAUCUGGGCAUCACUAGAGAUAUCAUCCGUAAACCUUUUCAACUGUUUAAGCAUAUUUUGGAUCAUGAUUUAUUUAUGCAGGUUGUUCAACAGGCCUGGGAUUCUCCUGUUCAGGGAAAUCUGUGGCACAUAUUAAUCACUAAGCUCAAGAGACUAAAAGAUUCUCUUAAAACUCUCAAUAGUGAAGGUGGCAAUCUGCAUGACAAUGUGGUGGCUGCAAGAACUGAACUUCUUGAUUUCCAGAAUGGCCUCCCCUCCAUUCCUUCACAGCCUCAGAGAAUUGAGGAGGGUCUUAAGAGUAAAAAAUUGCAGGAGGCUUUAUUAAUUGAAGAAAAAUUUCUCAAGCAAAAAUCAAAAGUGAGAUGGUUGCAACAUGGUGAUGAGAAUAAUAAAUUCUUUUUUAAUUCUUGCAGAGGCAGGUGGAACUCCAAUAAAUUGUUACAAAUUACUGAUGAUGAGGGCACUGUUCAUAUGGGGCACAGUAACAUUGCUAAUGUAGCAGUGUCUUAUUUUCAGAAGCUUCUUGGCAGCUCCUGCGAUGUUCAGGAGUUCAGUGACUGGCCUGAAAUGCAAGGGAUUAAUAAACUUUCUGAAGGAGAGCAACAUGAGCUGAUCAAUCCAUUUACUACUGCUGAUGUCUUGGCUACCUUUAAAGCAAUGGCCAAGGGUAAAAGUCCAGGCCCUGAUGGCUAUUCUCCUGAAUUUUUUGUGAAAGCCUGGAAGAUUGUAGGACAUGAUACUACUGCUGCAAUCCUUCACUUCUUUGAAACUGGUCAGUUGCCUCGUAUGAUUAACUCUUCUGCUAUUUCUUUGAUUCCCAAACAGUCAAAUGCUUCGCACUUGAGUCAUUAUAGGCCUAUAUCUUGCUGCACAGCCAUAUACAAGUGUAUUGGGAAAUUGAUUGCUCACAGAAUGAGUAAGGUUAUGUGUUCUCUUGUUUCCUUAAAUCAGUGUGCAUUUGUUCCUACAAGAAGUCUAGGUGACAAUGUUUUCCUGGCCCAAGCUUUAUGUAGAAAUUAUCAUCUAAACUAUGGAUCUCCGCGUUUUGCUUGCAAGUUGGAUAUUCGUAAAGCUUUUGACACUCUUAAUUGGGCAUUUAUUCUUCAACUUCUUGCUACUAUGAAUUUUCCUGAGAAAUUUAUCAAGUGGAUAAAAGUAUGCAUUACUUCUUGUAUGUAUUCAAUAAAAGUUAACGCAGCUUUAGAGGGUUAUUUUGCUGCUGCUGCUGGUAUUAGGCAAGGGGACCCUAUCAGUCCUUAUUUGUUUGUUUUGGCUAUGGAAGCUCUUAAUGUUUGCUUUACUAAAGUCAUUGUGGGCUCUAAAUUUUCUUAUCAUUGGCGUUGUGGGGAUUUGAAGCUUACUCAUCUUGUUUUUGCGGAUGAUUUACUUCUUUUCUGCAAAGGUAAUCAGCCCUCUAUUGCUUUGUUGCUUGAAGCCAUAAAUCUGUUCUCUAGCAUUUCUGGCCUAAAGUUAAAUACCGCCAAAUGUGUGUGCUUCUUUGGAAAUGUUUCUACUGAAGUCAAAAAUUAUGCAUUGACUCAGUCUGGUUUCACAGAAGGUAAUUUGCCAAUCACUUAUCUGGGCCUUCCUUUAACCUCUCGUAAUCUGAAUGCUAGAGACUGCAUGCCGUUAAUACACAAAAUUUGCAAGCGUGUUGAUUUAUGGACCUGUAAAUUUUUGAGCCAAGCUGGUAGGCUCCAACUGAUCAAAUCAAUCUUGUUUGGUAUUCAAGGUUUCUGGGUUAGAUUUUUGUUUUUACCAACUCAAGUCGAAAAAAGAAUCCAGAGCAUCCUUGCUAGAUUCUUUUGAAAGAGCGAUUGUGGACCAGGGACCGUAUGUUAUCCUUUUGCAUGAAUAUUGAUCGUGGCUGCCUUCUUUGUACAGGAUUCUUUGAGACUCAUUCUCACUUGUUUUGUGAAUGUCAUUAUUCUAGAACUAUUUUGAAUGCAUGUCCUAUUGCUGUUAGCACUGUCUGGACAGAUAUUUGUGCCGGAGGAAUUCUGGUGAACCAAGUGGAUACUAUUCGUGAUAAUAUUGCAUACCUGUAUGUGGCAGUAGCUUAUUAUCACAUUUGGGCUGAAAGGAAUCUACGUCUUCAUAGUCCUGGCCAAUAUAAUCAGCCUAUUAUUCUAAUCAGAAGAAUCAAGGAUGUUGUCAGAAGCAAGUUGGUUGUUAGUAAAUUAUUUACUCGGUUUGCUAGACAAGAUUUUACUUUAAAUAGUUUUCUCUAGUUCUUCUGUUAUCUAGUCUUUGGCUAUUUGAAUCUAGGAGUGUUAGCUUUUAUCUCUUUGUGACAGUUUGAGUUUCUCCCGCGGGGUAUGCCCCUAGAUUUGUAAUCUGUUUGUUUCUUUAAUAUAUUUAAUUAGCAA